Molecule: long non-coding RNA, 377 nt
Organism: Rosa rugosa (rugosa rose)
Lineage: Eukaryota; Viridiplantae; Streptophyta; Magnoliopsida; Rosales; Rosaceae
Exons: 3
Source: RefSeq, a predicted model, not a curated record
CCUAGUCGCCGAUCGCAAUCCCAAAUCUUGCCAUCUCGAUUUCGAAGUGGCAUUGCCGUCUCAUUUUCAAUGACAGCCCAUAGGCCCUCAUGCCACGUUUCUUCACCCUCUAGAAAUUUCUCUUUCCGGAUGUCGAUUCGAUACAGAGACAAGGAAAGAAUGAAGAGGAAAGCUAAAGAGAAACAAGAGAGAGCAAUCAAUAAUGGUUAUUCUCUCCUCACAUCCAAUCACUUUCUUCAGAGAGCAGAACAGAACACCAGAGCAAAUGAAGAGUAGAGCAUAUACUUGAUCCAUGCUUAAAACCCAAUUUGCAAAAUAGGCAGAAGAGAUGCUGUUUGGCCUUUCUUCUCCGCUGUUGACAGUUUUGCCAUCUUCAG